GGGUCGGCUCGCCUAUUAGGGUGGGCAGCGGUCUGUAAAACCGCCGCUUUUAUGCAUUGCAGGUGCGAAUCCUGCCCGACCCA
RNAcentral lists this transfer RNA (83 nucleotides) under Coleofasciculus sp. FACHB-T130. RNAcentral's name for it is "tRNA-Tyr". It matches the Rfam family "tRNA". Rfam says of the family: Transfer RNA (tRNA) molecules are approximately 80 nucleotides in length. Their secondary structure includes four short double-helical elements and three loops (D, anti-codon, and T loops). Lineage: Bacteria; Bacillati; Cyanobacteriota; Cyanophyceae; Coleofasciculales; Coleofasciculaceae. The record is from RNAcentral. RNAcentral also lists the same sequence under 1 other name.